AUUGAACGCUGGCGGAAUGCUUUACACAUGCAAGUCGAACGGCAGCACGGACUUCGGUCUGGUGGCGAGUGGCGAACGGGUGAGUAAUGUAUCGGAACGUGCCCAGUCGUGGGGGAUAACGUAGUGAAAAUUACGCUAAUACCGCAUACGAUCUAUGGAUGAAAGCGGGGGAUCGCAAGACCUCGCGCGAUUGGAGCGGCCGAUAACAGAUGAGGUAGUAGGUGGGGUAAAGGCCCACCAAGCCAACGAUCUGUAGCUGGUCUGAGAGGACGACCAGCCACACUGGAACUGAGACACGGUCCAGACUCCUACGGGAGGCAGCAGUGGGGAAUUUUGGGCAAUGGGCGAAAGCCUGAUCCAGCCAUUCCGCGUGCAGGAUGAAGGCCCUCGGGUUGUAAACUGCUUUUGUACAGAACGAAAAGGUUUCUACUAAUACUAGGAGCUCAUGACGGUACUGUAAGAAUAAGCACCGGCUAACUACGUGCCAGCCGCCGCAGUAA
RNAcentral lists this ribosomal RNA (500 nucleotides) under uncultured bacterium. Its description in RNAcentral is "partial 16S ribosomal RNA". It matches the Rfam family "Bacterial small subunit ribosomal RNA", at positions 30 to 523 of the family's 1533-position model. The record is from RNAcentral.